This 71-nucleotide transfer RNA is filed under the name Acanthodactylus boskianus (Bosk's fringe-fingered lizard). Its description in RNAcentral is "tRNA-Ile". The record is from RNAcentral. Lineage: Eukaryota; Metazoa; Chordata; Lepidosauria; Squamata; Lacertidae.
GGAAGCGUGCCCGAAUUAUUAAGGAUUACUUUGAUAGAGUAAAAUAUAGGGAAUAACCCCCCUCACUUCCU